RNAcentral lists this ribosomal RNA (2477 nucleotides) under Chlamydomonas moewusii. Its description in RNAcentral is "large subunit rRNA gamma". It matches the Rfam family "Bacterial large subunit ribosomal RNA", at positions 404 to 1212 of the family's 2925-position model. The record is from RNAcentral. Lineage: Eukaryota; Viridiplantae; Chlorophyta; Chlorophyceae; Chlamydomonadales; Chlamydomonadaceae.
AAUCCCGAGUAGCAUGGGACACGUGGAAUCCCGUGUGAAUCAGCGAGGACCACCUCGUAAGGCUAAAUACUCCUGGGUGACCGAUAGUGCAAAGUACCGCGAGGGAAUGGUAAAAAGAACCCCUGUAGGGGAGUGAAAUAGAACAUGAAACCGUAAGCUGACAAGCAGUGGGAGGUUCAAAAGGACUGACCGCGUGCCUGUUGAAGAAUGAGUCUGCGACUUAUAGGGAGUGGCAAGGUUAAGGAGUAAAAUCCGGAGCCUUAGCGAAAGCGAGUCUUAAUAGGGCGACAAAGUCACUUCUUAUGGACCCGAACCCGGGUGAUCUAUUCAUGGCCAGGAUGAAGCGAGGGUAACACUUCUUGGAGGUCAUCAGUUCAAUGACGGGCCUUCUUACGCGGCGACGCGUAUAAUAAAAAUCUGGCUCAUAUCGGUGAACCCUCUAUAACUAAAACGUGUAAACAAAAAAGUUAUGUGGCGAUACCGAGGGAAGGUUUUGCAACGUAUUAACGUUAAUAAUAAAAAUCCUGAACUUCGCGGGGCAAAGCCCCGCGAAGUUCAGGCUCCGCCCGCGGCAAAGCCGCGGGCUUAACAUAUUUAAUUUAUUAAUUUAGGCGACGCCCGCGGCAAAGCCGCGGGCAUACCGAUUUUAAAUAGAUCAAAACCCCCGUAACGACUGAAUCGAAAGAUGAGAGUUUAAGAUUUUUCUUAAGCUAAUACGCCAGCACUGCUGUGUCUAUCUUAAAAACUUAAAAAGUCUUUUUUUAAAAAACCUAUAAACUAUAAAUAUUAUAAUAAUGCUCCGCCCACGGCAAAGCCGUGGGCGUAACCUGUUUACCAGAACUUAACGUCGGCAGGUUUACCUGCCGACGUUAAGUUCUGGCUCCGCCCACGGCAAAGCCGUGGGCUGAAGUUGUAGCAAGAUUUAAAGAAGAUUGGCAAAUAUAAAAAUUAAGUUGAUACUGCAGUUGAAGGUAUAGUCUAAACUUACAAGAAAUUGUAAGAGUAAUUGCCGAACCCACCGAUGUUGAAAAAUCGGGGGAUGAGCUGUGAAUAGGGGAGAAAUUCCAAUCGAACUCGGAGCUAGCUGGAUCUCCCCGAAAUGCGUUGAGGCGCAGCGGUGACUAUGAGCUAUCUAGAGGUAAAGCGACUGUUUCGAUGCGGGCUGCGAAAGCGGUACCAAGUCGUGGCAAACUCAGAAUACUAGAUAUAGCCUUCAGUCAACCAGUGAAACACGUCGGGAUUUUAAAUAGUCCCCCUUUAUAGUGAUAUAAAGGUUCUCUUUUUAAGAGAAUAAGGAGCCAGAACGCCCGCGUUGUAAACAACGCGGGGCGUUCAGGUUAACCCUGCUUAUUUUAUAAGUGAGUUCCGAAAAAUUGGGUGAAUUGCCAAGGACGCUAAGUUAAAAGCUACUCGACUCGCUUAGCGAGUCGAGUAUUAAGCCUUUAAUACGCCAACUUGCAGCCAAGUCUAACGAAUUUUCGAAAAGGUAGUUAGAAAGGUUCAACGACUAGGGCUUGAGUACGAAAUAUCAAUAACAGCCCCACGAGCGCCCAACAACUUAGGAUUCUGUACGAAAAGUACUCGCCCGCUGCUUUGCCGCGGGCGAAGCAUAAGUUGAAGACAUAGUCUGAACUGUAAAGAAAUUUACAGAGCUAGUUAUUAAAAACACUAGCACUAUUUGCAAAGGACAAAUAGAUUAACAUAAUUGAAGCUGAUGUGUUAAGAGGGAAACAGCCCAGAUCACCAGCUAAGGCCCCUAAAUGAGUCACUAAGUGGAGAAGGAUGUGAUGAUGCUAAAACAACCAGGAAGUUUGCUCUUUUUGGGCUAGCUAAUAUGUGAGUAUUAGUGAUAAAAACUGGGUGAAUUGUCAAGAAGACUAACGUCUAUGUUUAUUAUAUUUUAAAUUUAAUAACUGUAGACCAUGUUAACUUGCAGCGAAGCUUAUCGAAUGGUAAAUAACAGUAGAUAAGAACGUUCAACGACUAGAAAGUGAAGAUUACCAACUAAUAAACUUUCCACGAGCGCCCAGCAACUUUUGUUUAUAUUUAUAACAGGCCCGCGGCUUUGCCGCGGGCGUAGCAUCAAAUUAAUUAAAUUGUAUUUUUGAUGCGCGGCCAGCAACUAAGCUGGCAAAUAUAAAACCAAGUUGAAGACAUAGUCUGAACUGUAAAGAAAUUUACAGAAAGAAAAGCUUAAAAGCUUUUUAGUGAUUUUAUUCAGCAAGAAAUAGAAUCCUGAACUUCACGCUUCGCGUGAAGUUCAGGUUAACACGUGUUUUUAAAAUUUUUAAAAUUAAUACUUAAAUAAGGCUCGGGGUAACCACAAAGGCCUUGGUAUUAUUAAUUUAAUUUUUAAAACAUUAUAACAAAUUGUAGAAGCAGCCACCUUUGAAAGAGUGCGUAAUAGCUCACUGGUAAAGCGUUGUUGCGCCGAAAAUGGCCGGGACUAAGUGACCUGCCGAAGCUGUGAUAUUUUU